This 223-nucleotide long non-coding RNA is filed under the name Ixodes scapularis (black-legged tick). Its description in RNAcentral is "uncharacterized LOC115330320, transcript variant X1". The record is from RNAcentral. Lineage: Eukaryota; Metazoa; Arthropoda; Arachnida; Ixodida; Ixodidae.
AACAGAUCGCUAGUGGCUAUGACGAGGAGUCGUCCGACUCUCCGGAAACGCCAGGCUGGCCAGGCAGCCCACAUCCACCAGCAGCCCGGCGCGUCGGCACGGCGAAUUGGUGCUCCUGUGGCAGCGUCUGCAGACCAAUGCAGACAGUCGAGGAGUCGGUGUGCUGCAGGGAGUUGCACAAUGUGGAGGCACCGCUACACUGCCUACCGGCAAUUCACUUGGU